RNAcentral lists this ribosomal RNA (373 nucleotides) under uncultured bacterium. RNAcentral's name for it is "bacterial SSU rRNA". It matches the Rfam family "Bacterial small subunit ribosomal RNA", at positions 335 to 699 of the family's 1533-position model. The record is from RNAcentral.
ACUCCUACGGGAGGCAGCAGUAGGGAAUCUUCCACAAUGGACGAAAGUCUGAUGGAGCAAUGCCGCGUGAGUGAAGAAGGGUUUCGGCUCGUAAAACUCUGUUGUUAAAGAAGAACACCUUUGAGAGUAACUGUUCAAGGGUUGACGGUAUUUAACCAGAAAGCCACGGCUAACUACGUGCCAGCAGCCGCGGUAAUACGUAGGUGGCAAGCGUUGUCCGGAUUUAUUGGGGCGUAAAGCGAGCGCAGGCGGUUUUUAAGUCUGAUGUGAAAGCCUUCGGCUUAACCGGAGAAGUGCAUCGGAAACUAGGGAGACUUGAGUGCAGAAGAGGACAGUGGAACUCCAUGUGUAGCGGUGGAAUGCGUAGAUAUAU